RNAcentral lists this ribosomal RNA (640 nucleotides) under uncultured marine bacterium. RNAcentral's name for it is "bacterial SSU rRNA". It matches the Rfam family "Bacterial small subunit ribosomal RNA", at positions 8 to 628 of the family's 1533-position model. The record is from RNAcentral.
AGAGUUUGAUCCUGGCUCAGGAUGAACGCUGGCGGCGUGCCUAAUACAUGCAAGUCGAGCGAACUGAUUAGAAGCUUGCUUCUAAGACGUUAGCGGCGGACGGGUGAGUAACACGUGGGCAACCUGCCUGUAAGACUGGGAUAACUUCGGGAAACCGAAGCUAAUACCGGAUAGGAUCUUCUCCUUCAUGGGAGAUGAUUGAAAGAUGGUUUCGGCUAUCACUUACAGAUGGGCCCGCGGUGCAUUAGCUAGUUGGUGAGGUAACGGCUCACCAAGGCAACGAUGCAUAGCCGACCUGAGAGGGUGAUCGGCCACACUGGGACUGAGACACGGCCCAGACUCCUACGGGAGGCAGCAGUAGGGAAUCUUCCGCAAUGGACGAAAGUCUGACGGAGCAACGCCGCGUGAGUGAUGAAGGCUUUCGGGUCGUAAAACUCUGUUGUUAGGGAAGAACAAGUACGAGAGUAACUGCUUGUACCUUGACGGUACCUAACCAGAAAGCCACGGCUAACUACGUGCCAGCAGCCGCGGUAAUACGUAGGUGGCAAGCGUUAUCCGGAAUUAUUGGGCGUAAAGCGCGCGCAGGCGGUUUCUUAAGUCUGAUGUGAAAGCCCACGGCUCAACCCGUGGAGGGUCAUUG